Molecule: ribosomal RNA, 253 nt
Filed under: uncultured bacterium
Lineage: Bacteria
Description: partial 16S ribosomal RNA
Rfam family: Bacterial small subunit ribosomal RNA
Source: RNAcentral
UACGUAGGGUGCAAGCGUUAAUCGGAAUUACUGGGCGUAAAGCGUACGCAGGCGGCUUUGCAAGACAGGUGUGAAAUCCCCAAGCUUAACUUGGGAACUGCAUUCGAGACUGCAUAGCUAGAGUAUGGGAGAGGGAAGUGGAAUUUCAGGUGUAGCGGUGAAAUGCGUAGAUAUCUGAAGGAACAUCAGUGGCGAAAGCGACUUCCUGGACCAAUACUGACGCUCAUGUGCGAAAGCGUGGGGAGCAAACAGG